AUUGAACGCUGGCGGCAUGCCUUACACAUGCAAGUCGAACGGCAGCGGGGGAGAAGCUUGCUUUUCCUGCCGGCGAGUGGCGAACGGGUGAGUAAUACAUCGGAACGUGCCCUGUAGUGGGGGAUAACUAGUCGAAAGAUUAGCUAAUACCGCAUACGACCUGAGGGUGAAAGUGGGGGACCGCAAGGCCUCAUGCUAUAGGAGCGGCCGAUGUCUGAGUAGCUAGUUGGUGGGGUAAAGGGCUACCAAGGCGACGAUCAGUAGCUGGUCUGACAGGACGAUCAGCAACCCUGGGACGGAGACUCGUCCCAGACUCCUAUGGGAGGCAGCAUUGGGGAAUUUUGGACAAUGGGCGAAAGCCUGAUCCAGCAAUGCCGCGUGUGUGAAGAAGGCCUUCGGGUUGUAAAGCACUUUUGUCCGGAAAGAAAUGGCUCUGGUUAAUACCUGGGGUCGAUGACGGUACCGGAAGAAUAAGGACCGGCUAACUACGUGCCAGCCGCCGCAGUAA
RNAcentral lists this ribosomal RNA (508 nucleotides) under uncultured bacterium. Its description in RNAcentral is "partial 16S ribosomal RNA". It matches the Rfam family "Bacterial small subunit ribosomal RNA", at positions 30 to 523 of the family's 1533-position model. The record is from RNAcentral.